Molecule: ribosomal RNA, 247 nt
Filed under: uncultured bacterium
Lineage: Bacteria
Description: partial 16S ribosomal RNA
Rfam family: Bacterial small subunit ribosomal RNA
Source: RNAcentral
UGGGUAACCUGCCUCAAAGAGGGGAAUAGCCUCCCGAAAGGGAGAUUAAUACCGCAUAAUAUGUUUAGGUCGCAUGACUUUAACAUCAAAGGAUUUUUCUUUUAAGAAAUUCCACUUUGAGAUGGACCCCGCGGCGCAUUAGCUAGUUGGUGAGGUAACGGCUCACCAAGGCAACGAUCCGUAGCUGGUCUGAGAGGAUGAUCAGCCACACGUGGGACUGAGACACGGCCCAGACUCCGUAACGGGG